This 526-nucleotide ribosomal RNA is filed under the name uncultured bacterium. RNAcentral describes it as "bacterial SSU rRNA". It matches the Rfam family "Bacterial small subunit ribosomal RNA", at positions 969 to 1493 of the family's 1533-position model. The record is from RNAcentral.
CCUUACCAGGUCUUGACAUCCUGAGAACUUAGCAGAGAUGCUUUGGUGCCUUCGGGAACUCAGAGACAGGUGCUGCAUGGCUGUCGUCAGCUCGUGUUGUGAUAUGUUGGGUUAAGUCCCGUAACGAGCGCAACCCCUGUCCUUAGUUGCCAGCACGUAAUGGUGGGAACUCUAAGGAGACUGCCGGUGACAAACCGGAGGAAGGUGGGGACGACGUCAAGUCAUCAUGGCCCUUACGACCUGGGCUACACACGUGCUACAAUGGGAAGUACAAAGGGUUGCGAAGCGGCGACGUGGAGCCUAUCCCAUAAAACUUUUCGUAGUCCGGAUUGAAGUCUGCGACUCGACUUGCAUGGGGUCGGAAUCGCUAGUAAUCGCGAAUCAGAAUGUCGCGGUGAAUACGUUCCCGGGCCUUGUACACACCGCCCGUCACACCAUGGGAGUGGUUGCUCCAGAAGUGGUUAGUCUAACCUUUCGGGGGGACGAUCACCACGGAGUGAUUCAUGACUGGGGUGAAGUCGUAACA